CUGCUGUAAAGAGCCAUUGAUCAUUGGUUAAUAACAUCAAAAGGGCAUUCCCAAAAUGUUGCUCAGCUCCAACUUACUACACCCUCCGCUAGUUUGUAGAUUAUAGAUUAUAUAAGGUGAACCCAACAGACAUAGAAACAUUGAAUGGUGACAAGCCCAUACUUCGAAUAUACUCCAUUGACUACAACCCUCUGUUGCCUGUCCCUAAGCCACCGCCUUAC
This is a non-coding RNA of Pelobates cultripes (western spadefoot toad), 221 nucleotides long. NCBI's taxonomy places the organism in Eukaryota, Metazoa, Chordata, Amphibia, Anura, Pelobatidae. The record is from the annotation of a GenBank genome assembly.